GAACCGGGGGAACUGAAACAUCUAAGUACCCCGAGGAAAAGAAAUCAACCGAGAUUCCCCCAGUAGCGGCGAGCGAACGGGGAGGAGCCCAGAGCCUGAAUCAGUGUGUGUGUUAGUGGAAGCGUCUGGAAAGGCGCGCGAUACAGGGUGACAGCCCCGUACACAAAAAUGCACAUGCUGUGAGCUCGAUGAGUAGGGCGGGACACGUGGUAUCCUGUCUGAAUAUGGGGGGACCAUCCUCCAAGGCUAAAUACUCCUGACUGACCGAUAGUGAACCAGUACCGUGAGGGAAAGGCGAAAAGAACCCCGGCGAGGGGAGUGAAAAAGAACCUGAAACCGUG
This 341-nucleotide ribosomal RNA is filed under the name Escherichia coli. RNAcentral describes it as "partial 23S ribosomal RNA". It matches the Rfam family "Bacterial large subunit ribosomal RNA", at positions 181 to 560 of the family's 2925-position model. Lineage: Bacteria; Pseudomonadati; Pseudomonadota; Gammaproteobacteria; Enterobacterales; Enterobacteriaceae. The record is from RNAcentral.